RNAcentral lists this ribosomal RNA (740 nucleotides) under uncultured bacterium. RNAcentral's name for it is "bacterial SSU rRNA". It matches the Rfam family "Bacterial small subunit ribosomal RNA", at positions 8 to 796 of the family's 1533-position model. The record is from RNAcentral.
AGAGUUUGAUCAUGGCUCAGAACGAACGCUGGCGGCAGGCUUAACACAUGCAAGUCGAGCGCCCCGCAAGGGGAGCGGCAGACGGGUGAGUAACGCGUGGGAAUCUACCCUUUGCUACGGAAUAACGCAUGGAAACGUGUGCUAAUACCGUAUGUGUCCUUCGGGAGAAAGAUUUAUCGGCAAAGGAUGAGCCCGCGUUGGAUUAGCUAGUUGGUGGGGUAAAGGCCUACCAAGGCGACGAUCCAUAGCUGGUCUGAGAGGAUGAUCAGCCACAUUGGGACUGAGACACGGCCCAAACUCCUACGGGAGGCAGCAGUGGGGAAUAUUGGACAAUGGGCGCAAGCCUGAUCCAGCCAUGCCGCGUGAGUGAUGAAGGCCUUAGGGUUGUAAAGCUCUUUCACCGGAGAAGAUAAUGACGGUAUCCGGAGAAGAAGCCCCGGCUAACUUCGUGCCAGCAGCCGCGGUAAUACGAAGGGGGCUAGCGUUGUUCGGAUUUACUGGGCGUAAAGCGCACGUAGGCGGAUCGAUCAGUCAGGGGUGAAAUCCCAGAGCUCAACUCUGGAACUGCCUUUGAUACUGUCGAUCUGGAGUAUGGAAGAGGUGAGUGGAAUUCCGAGUGUAGAGGUGAAAUUCGUAGAUAUUCGGAGGAACACCAGUGGCGAAGGCGGCUCACUGGUCCAUUACUGACGCUGAGGUGCGAAAGCGUGGGGAGCAAACAGGAUUAGAUACCCUAGUAGUCC